GAUGAACGCUGGCGGCGUGCCUAAUACAUGCAAGUCGAGCGAACAGACGAGGAGCUUGCUCCUCUGACGUUAGCGGCGGACGGGUGAGUAACACGUGGAUAACCUACCUAUAAGACUGGGAUAACUUCGGGAAACCGGAGCUAAUACCGGAUAAUAUAUUGAACCGCAUGGUUCAAUAGUGAAAGACGGUUUUGCUGUCACUUAUAGAUGGAUCCGCGCCGCAUUAGCUAGUUGGUAAGGUAACGGCUUACCAAGGCAACGAUGCGUAGGCGACCUGAGAGGUGGAGCGGCCACACGGAAGCGGAGACGCGGUCCAGACGCCUACGGGAGGCAGCAGUAGGGAAGCUUCCGCAAUGGGCGAAAGCCUGACGGAGCAACGCGGCGUGAGUGAUGAAGGGCUUCGGAUCGUAAAACUCGGUUAUUAGGGAAGAACAAAUGUGUAAGUAACGAUGCACGUCUUGACGGUACCUAAUAAGAAAGCCACGGCUAACUACGU
This 496-nucleotide ribosomal RNA is filed under the name uncultured bacterium. RNAcentral describes it as "partial 16S ribosomal RNA". It matches the Rfam family "Bacterial small subunit ribosomal RNA", at positions 28 to 506 of the family's 1533-position model. The record is from RNAcentral.